GAUGAACGCUGGCGGCGUGCUUAACACAUGCAAGUCGAACGGUGAAGCAGGAGCUUGCUCUUGUGGAUCAGUGGCGAACGGGUGGGUAACACGUGAGCAACCUGCCCCUGACUCUGGGAUAAGCGCUGGAAACGGCGUCUAAUACUGGAUAUGUGAUGUGACCGCAUGGUCUGCAUCUGGAAAGAAUUUAGGUUGGGGAUGGGCUCGCGGUCUAUCAGGUUGUUGGUGAGGUAAUGACUCACCAAGGCGCCGACGGGUAGCCGGCCUGAGAGGGUGACCGGACACACUGGGACUGAGACACGGCCCAGACUCCAACGGGAGGCAGCAGUGGGGAAUAUUGCACAAUGGGCGGAAGCCUGAUGCAGCAACGCCGCGUGAGGGUUGACGGCCUUCUGGUUGUAAACCUCUUUUAGCAGGGAGGAGGCGAAAGUGACGGUACCUGCAGAAAUAGCACCGGCUAACUACGUGCCAGCCGCCGCUGUAA
Molecule: ribosomal RNA, 484 nt
Filed under: uncultured bacterium
Lineage: Bacteria
Description: partial 16S ribosomal RNA
Rfam family: Bacterial small subunit ribosomal RNA
Source: RNAcentral